Long non-coding RNA from Neogale vison (American mink), 369 nucleotides. RefSeq lists it as uncharacterized. NCBI's taxonomy places the organism in Eukaryota, Metazoa, Chordata, Mammalia, Carnivora, Mustelidae. The record is from RefSeq and is a predicted model, not a curated record. The transcript has 3 exons.
UUAGCCCCUCACCUCUCCCUUACUUGGCCUGGAUCCUGUUUUGAGACUUGCUUUUCACCCUGAGCCACCAUUCUAACACCUGUCCAGAGAUAUCAGGGAUGUCUACAAAUUUCCCAGGAGCUGGCUUGGGCCAGGUCAGGAGAUCUUUGUAUACCAGAUCGGACCUAAUGAAUAAAUGAUACUAAGAACUGGAUCUCCUCUAAUGGCUGUACAUGAGUCUGAGAUUCGGAAUUACCACGUGGAAGUCUACAGAAAAGCCAACCCCCAAAUCCCCAGUUAAGGGCCUGGAUUAACUGUCUGCAAAAGUUUAAAUAAGCCAGAAAACCAGAAAGUGCAUUAACCUUCAAAUCUCAAGGUUGCUCAUCCUCA